GCGGGGGUGCCGGAGUGGCCAAACGGGCAGGACUUAAGAUCCUGUAGCUUAGUGCUUACGAGGGUUCGAAUCCCUUCCCCCGCA
This 84-nucleotide transfer RNA is filed under the name Nanobdellota archaeon. RNAcentral's name for it is "tRNA-Leu". It matches the Rfam family "tRNA". From Rfam's summary of the family: Transfer RNA (tRNA) molecules are approximately 80 nucleotides in length. Their secondary structure includes four short double-helical elements and three loops (D, anti-codon, and T loops). Lineage: Archaea; Nanobdellati; Nanobdellota. The record is from RNAcentral.